UGCUUCUUGGUGCUUACCAUAGAUUAUUUUCUUACACUGACUGUAUAGAAAGGGAAGACAGAGUAAACGUACCCCAUAUAUACCUUAGCCCAGGCUGUGUGUGUGGUCUGUAUUGUGAAUGGGAAGACAUGA
This is a small nucleolar RNA of Perognathus longimembris pacificus (Pacific pocket mouse), 132 nucleotides long. RefSeq annotates it as small nucleolar RNA SNORA51. The transcript has a single exon. The record is from RefSeq and is a predicted model, not a curated record. NCBI's taxonomy places the organism in Eukaryota, Metazoa, Chordata, Mammalia, Rodentia, Heteromyidae.